UUCUAGAUUAACCCGUUGGAAUGACGUC
Molecule: non-coding RNA, 28 nt
Filed under: Bombyx mori (domestic silkworm)
Lineage: Eukaryota; Metazoa; Arthropoda; Insecta; Lepidoptera; Bombycidae
Source: RNAcentral